Molecule: unclassified non-coding RNA, 561 nt
Filed under: Candida albicans
Lineage: Eukaryota; Fungi; Ascomycota; Pichiomycetes; Serinales; Debaryomycetaceae
Description: sequence contains 18S rRNA gene, ITS1, 5.8S rRNA gene, ITS2, 28S rRNA gene
Rfam family: 5.8S ribosomal RNA (bases 194-347)
Source: RNAcentral
GGAAGUAAAAGUCGUAACAAGGUUUCCGUAGGUGAACCUGCGGAAGGAUCAUUACUGAUUUGCUUAAUUGCACCACAUGUGUUUUUCUUUGAAACAAACUUGCUUUGGCGGUGGGCCCAGCCUGCCGCCAGAGGUCUAAACUUACAACCAAUUUUUUAUCAACUUGUCACACCAGAUUAUUACUAAUAGUCAAAACUUUCAACAACGGAUCUCUUGGUUCUCGCAUCGAUGAAGAACGCAGCGAAAUGCGAUACGUAAUAUGAAUUGCAGAUAUUCGUGAAUCAUCGAAUCUUUGAACGCACAUUGCGCCCUCUGGUAUUCCGGAGGGCAUGCCUGUUUGAGCGUCGUUUCUCCCUCAAACCGCUGGGUUUGGUGUUGAGCAAUACGACUUGGGUUUGCUUGAAAGACGGUAGUGGUAAGGCGGGAUCGCUUUGACAAUGGCUUAGGUCUAACCAAAAACAUUGCUUGCGGCGGUAACGUCCACCACGUAUAUCUUCAAACUUUGACCUCAAAUCAGGUAGGACUACCCGCUGAACUUAAGCAUAUCAAUAAGCGGAGGAA